CUCUGGGGCGGUUCUGAGGCUCUCUGGGCUCCGGUUUCUGUCCUUUUUUCUUUCUUCACUUCUUGGGUGCGGUCCCUGAGGCCCCUCUCUCCCGCCUUUUCCUCAUAGUUUGGUACCAGGGGAGCCAGGUGGUAAAGUUUCCCGUUGUUUGGUUGUUUUGUUUUGUUUUUCUUUCUUAUACCAACUUUUUUAUUUCCAUGAGGCCGCCUAAGGGCACUUGCUGGCUCCCACCAUUAGUCAGCACUCUUGUGGAACAACUGUUCAAGGAAAGCCAGAGGAGAAAGUAACUCCCGUUGUGUACCUAAGAUCCUGUAAAAAGGUCGCAGGUGAAAACCGUUGAGUUUGAGGACACCAAUUUCUACCCUGCUGUUCUCGGCAAGUGCUGCGGCUUGUCGGCUGUUAUCCAUGCACAAUCCUGUAUGGUUUUGCUGUCUAAUAGUGGGUAGGAAGAAAGGAAGAGGAAAUGGAUUACCAGAGUGAGAAUGUGGACAAGACCCUUCCGGUGGCUGUGACUGUCUUCCACAGGAGAGAACAAGUUGGCAUCUUCCUGUGGUCAUUUACCUCAGGAUCCAGAUGCUGGAUACUUAGUAAAUGUUCAGAACUAAGGCCCCCGCCCAGGUGGAGGAUGAUAACUUCAGGCUGAGCACAAGAUUCCUG
This is a long non-coding RNA of Balaenoptera musculus (blue whale), 657 nucleotides long. RefSeq lists it as uncharacterized. The record is from RefSeq and is a predicted model, not a curated record. Lineage: Eukaryota; Metazoa; Chordata; Mammalia; Artiodactyla; Balaenopteridae. The transcript has 3 exons.